Molecule: long non-coding RNA, 6873 nt
Organism: Gallus gallus (chicken)
Lineage: Eukaryota; Metazoa; Chordata; Aves; Galliformes; Phasianidae
Source: Ensembl
GUGGCAGCCUGCAGGUCGCAAUCUGCUCCCUGUUACUUCCAUGUUUAUUUUCGGCAACUUGGUUGACUUCAGGGGAACUGACUCGCACGUCUGUAAGUUGAGGGAGGCAAUAGCUCUUUUGCCGCAGUUCCUUGCCCUCUCUCAUGCCCGUUGAUGUAACCUUACACGGUGGCUUUGUCGAUAGUGACAAUCGCGUCGGGUCUCCCUCCCGUUUGCUCUCACUGCGGCUGCAGUUGUGCCGCUCCACCGCCAGGCGGCGCCCUCGCAGCGCAGCCCGGUUUCACAGCUCCGUCCUCCAUCCCCCGGACUGACGAUGGCCACAGCACGUCUUCAUAUUGAUAUGGCCAUUAAAUAUUAAGCAGAUGCAAUCAGUGGAGGUAGCAGCCUGCCAGCAGAGAGAGAUUCUGGCUGCUGCUGUGCGAAGGGGCUGGGCAGAGCGGCAGCUGAUGGAAGGUAUUAAGGAAGAGCAAAGUCCUUCAGGAAGAGCACAGUGAGGACGCAGGUACAAAGUGUCUGUUUACAUGGCAGGAAAUGGUUCUCUGCUCAGUCUCAAAGCCCAGCUCCUGCUGGACUAUGUUUGGCUUCUCAAACAGUUUUGAUCCCCAGUGCUUACGAGCUGCUCCUCACACCACUCUGGAGGCAGUGCUGGCAGCAGCUCAUGCUGAUCAUUAUUCUGGCUUUAGUAAUUAAUAUUCUGGGUUACUUCAGUGACACUUAGAAAUAAAUUAAUUUCCAACAGACAUCUUUCCCUUGAGAGAAGAUGAUUUUCUACUCUGGAACCCGUUCAGCUUUGUCACUGUGGCCUGGCAGACCCUGAGAGAAAAGAACGUGGGAGUUUUGACCAAAGCAUUCAUUUUGGUUUCUGGGAAAUGGUCCUGAAGCUUUUUUAUACAGUGAGAUUCCACAUAAGAAAAUAAAAUAAUAGCAAUUUUUAAAAAUGUAGAUUCAGAGGGAAUUCCCUCUGUAGGAGAAAUUAGAAUCUGAAAGGCUGUAUUUGCUCAGCCUAAACAAGAGGGUUGGGCAAUGUGUGCCUUCUCAGAAAUAAACUCAAUUCCGGGACAUUCAGUGGAGAUUUCCAUGUCUUAAAGUUUCCCUCUGCUCUGUGGUGAUCUCAAUGACCAUCUUCCUUCCAGUGAUAAAACCAGACACGAUAAGGAGAUAUAAAUAUUCCACACUGCAAUUUCACACAUCCUAGUAACGUCAGCAGUGCCAGACUCUGCUGCUUCUCAGGUUGCUCUUUAAACUUCAGCUUUCUGCAGAAUUUGAUAGCAGACGUUUCUGAUGAAAUGACUCAAUCCCGUGUGACUCACUUUCAGUAUUUUUCCGUUUCCAGCUGGAAAAAACAAGCAGAACACAAAGAAGGAAGAAUUGACAUCUAAGGAAGUUGGUGUAUCAUAAGGUCUUUUCCUUCCACUGGGACAUUCACACAGUUAAAUACUGGGUUAUUAGUGCAGCAAGUCCAGCUUGAAUUGCAUGUUUGUUUUACUCGCUGUGAUAACUGUGUUUGGUAACAGCGGCCAGGAGAGCAAAAGGAAAUGUAUGUAACAACCUCUGUAAUGAGCACUGUGCCCCAAGCUGGAUAUUCUUUACUAAUGGAUUUAGAGAUCUGUUAGCAUGCACAAAUCAGGGAAGAGCUGGUUGUCCUGUGACUCAGACUUCACCUUUGCAGACAGGGAUUUCCAGGUUUGCACAGUCUAAAUGGUACUCGGCAGUUUCCAUCAGAUUCCUUUGACAAGGAAGGUACCUCAGUGCUGGAGCUGGAGCAGAGUGUGGGGAGUUAAAGCAAGGUUUGUGAGCAGCAAGACUUUGGCUGCCAAAUUAAGAGUGAGAAGAGAAUUUCUGAGCAGCUUAUGAAAAUUGACCUCUGGGCCUGCUAUGUUCUGCAGGACCACUGUACCAGCUAUUUCCAGUUGAAAGCAAGUAUCAUUUAUGCCCACUGUAGCAUUGAUUGCGUUCACUUCAGGAGAAGUUCAGUUUCCUGGAUUGAAUCGUAACCAGUGAUGGGAUGUGAUGUCACUACUACAAGCUAGAGUCAAAAUGGCAGAAUGGUGAGAUGUGAGUUCCCCAUCAAAGAAAAAGUUGAAGACACAGCCCUCAGCAGGUGCACUGAUGUGCACUGUCUUUUGGGAUAGGAAAGGGGGGACCCUUUGGGAUUCCCUGGAGCCCAGAUAAACCAUCAGCUCUGACCACUACAUCAUGACAGGGCCUAAGCUGAAGGCCCAAACUUCCAGAGUCAGGCCAGAGAAGACAACCUUUCUCUUGCAACACAACACCAGGCCCCAUGCCAGUUUGAAGACCGUGAAGCACAAUGCCAAUCUCAGCUGGACCGUCCUAUCACAUCCACCAUAUAGUCCAGAUUUGGCACCUUCUGAUGGAUUAACUCUGUGCAGUAAGUUUGGCCUCGGGUCCUUCACAUCUGCCAAGGAAUUUGGAGUUUAUCCUAUCCACAGCCUUAGUAAUAAAGUCCACUGUGUUUAGUGUGCUUUCUUUGAAAAUUAUAACUGUGUAAGAGAAGCAGGUGAGUUAUGGACCUACUGAUGGUAUAAUUUUUAAUUUUCAGUUAUUUUCAGCAGAGAGUUGGUAGAGCACAGUAUUUCUGCAAUUAAUUUACUAUGUUGUGAAUACUAGUGCAGAAACAAGGCAGGGUGUGCAGGGAAAAUUAAAACUGUUGUGUUAAAAAAUCCUAGAAAAAAUCUUGUCCUGUCGUAGUAAAGUGAAGCUGAAUGGCUUAUGAAUCCUAUGGGGAAACUCAGAAACCCUUACCCAGUGUCCUACAAAACCUUCCUGCUUUCCCUCUCCUGUUAGAUAACACAGAUGGCUUUCUUGAGUUGGUAGCUGAUCUACCCCUACUGAACCUCAUUAUUUACAAAUAAAUGUGGUUCUUCAUGACGUUGGUUCUUAUUAAUCUCCAUUUUACGUCCCACUAACAAGGGGAAGACAAUGAAGUGUAGGCAGAGGAAAAAGAGUCAAGGACACUUCCCCAGUUAUCUACUGACAGAUUUAUCCUGCCCUGAGGUAGGACCUUCAAUCACCUCUGUGACUGCUGAGGUAGCCAUUUGCUGAACUCUUUUUCAGCUUAGAAAUCCUUUAUAUGGACAGGAGGAAAAGGCGAUUCUGGUGGUAAUGUUUUCAUCGAGAUUUGUGUGUGAUUUGCUUUCCAUCUAGUACUAUCCAUCUAAUAUUUUUGCUAACUGUGAUACUGCAGUGAUGUUGCUGGCUGCGUGUUUCCUCUUGAGUUAAUGAAAUGAUGUUGACUCCUUUUUAAUUUUAAUUUAAUGAUUUUUUCUUGGCUCACAAUGGAAGACUAGAUUUUUGUUGCUACCAGCUUUGCCUCAUAGCCACCUGUGAUGUGUGGAAGGAGUUCCUGGCUGGCCUGUGGAUCCACAUUACGCAGUCCUUAAUUUACACUUUUUAGUGCUCCCAAUGAAAGUCUGACAAAAAGGAAAGGCAGUCUAAAGAAACCCUGUGAAAUCAGAAUACUUCUGUUCAUUUUCCAGUCACCGUUUAGAAGUUAGCUAGUUAGCCUAACAAAUACUGAUCUUUUGUUUGCAGAUACAGCUUCAGUCUGUAAGUCCAGUGAUGCAUGAUCAGAAUGGUUGUCUUUUGGUUAUGGAGCACAUAUUUCUGACCCAAGCUUUCACCUGGAAGCUUUAUAACCUGAUAUUCUUAUCAGCUUGCAGAAAAUGCAUGUAAAGGAGUGAGUGUUUGCUGUGUUCAGUCUCUUACCACGUCAAGGCCAACUGCAGCACAGCGUGUAUCUUCUUACUGAAGGAUUCAGUAACAAAGCAGCUUUAUAUAUUGACUAAGAAGCCAGAUGAAGAGUGUUUUUCAGCUAUAAUUCUACUAUUGAUGGUCAGUGGUUUUAUGCUCAGCCUGAAAUGUCUGUUUCACAACCUAACUUCCCACGUAUUUCCACCGUUUAGUAGAAUGUGUUCUGUAAUGCAUGACUGCAGAAGACUCCCUAGAUGCAUAGUUAUCAAGAAACUAGCCUGAACUGGAUUUCUCCUCACCACUAGCCAGAGAAGGGGAUUUAACGAUGUCUCUCUCUGCUCUAAUCGGAGUUCUUGUGGUCUUGUAAAAACUGAUCUUUCUAGUCCUGCAGUCUUCCAUCCUCAUGUUAAAGUAAUAGGAGGGCGGCUUGUUGCAUCGUAUAGCUUUAGAACAAAUCUCUUACUUAGAGCUGAGUAGAAAUGUUUACGUUUAACUACAGUUGGUUGUACUUUCUGUAAGAGCUCAAAUGCUUUUGUUCUUUCAUUUGCAAAUGGUUUUAAAAUAAACAGGAAUGGCAAAUUUGUGAUGGAGUUCAUCAGGGAGUGGAUUUUCCUGUGAUAAUUUCACCCAUAUAAAUGAAACAUUCUUCCUACAAAUGAGAAACCAGUAUGUUUGGCCAACAAGGCCUGAAUCUCGUUUGAAGUGUUGGACCAUGAGGUUCCUUUAUGUUGACAUUAAUUGGAUCCAAUUCCCAUUGUUUCCAAAAUGUCUGCAUGGCUCACUGCAGCCCCAAGUGAACUUCACUGAGCUCUCCACUCAGAUAGUAAAUUGUAGUUCUGUGUAGCAAGGGUGCCAUCAGUCCCUGAGGAAUAUAGGCUUACCAGUACAACUCUGUUUUUAUUUCUAUACACACUUGUCCUGCCAAAACACUGCAUCAACAUAGCUGGUGCUGGCUCUGCUGCUGUGUUGCACUGCGCUAUUCGGUGUAUUCCUAAGGCUUAUUCUUAACCAAUGUCUCUUGUGCCAGGAUCUGAAUGCAGUUGAUGUUAGAUCUCUUUACAAUUACUGCCCCACAUCCUGCCCCUUUACUCUUUCCUCGAGUAGGUUUGUCGCUUAUUUCUUCAGGACUGUGCCUACUGUGGAACUGAGGAGUCCGAAUCACCACUGAAUGCACUGGCAGUAAAUAAGCCAUCUUAGUUGUCCUCAUCCAUUUUUGGUUCUUUCAUUAACAUUCCUGACACUUUUUUUUUAGCCCCCACAACUUUCUGUUUCUGUAUCUGCAGAAUACGUUACAUUAUAUGUCUAUUUUCAGUGAGAUGUUCUGAAGACAGAAAUUUUAAGAGAAUCCAAGUUAUUUGUUUUAAUAAGUAUCACGAUGUCCCCAAAUUCUAUCACUUCUCAGGAGAAAUUAAUUGUUCAUUAAUUCAUUCUUAAUGAAAUAGCAUUUGGAAGAGCAGCUCAUAUGUCUGCAUCUCACAUUAAGCAAAUAAUUCAUUUAUGCCAGUACACAGCAGCACUGUGAUGGUAUUGCUAUCUGAUAACUGCACACAGUUAACUCAGGUAAACCAUCAAAAGAUUCCAGAUGAAAAUUUGGUUGCUAAAGCCAUUCACUGCUUCAGUAAGUUGCAUAUUCCACAAACUUUGUGAAGAGUUCAGAAAUAUCUUUAAGGGUAAUAGGAAUACAUGCUAAGAAUGCAUUACUGCUCGCUGUAAGCCAGCUGCCUCCAGGCUGACGACAUAUCAAUAUGCAGUAUGUUCUGUGAAGCAAAAGCUUUGUUUUACAUCUGGUAUCAUUGGUAUCAAUAUAAGGUGAUGGUGCAAAAGGUAGUUAGGAUUUCAAGUGGAGAGAAUGGAAAACAUUUGUUUUUGAUAAACCAAAUUGUUCUUGCAGCAAUUCUGGACGUAAAACCGUAGCUUAGUCUUUCAGGACUAGCAUUCCCCUAUCUCAAUCAAAUACAUUUUAUAUCUUUUUCUAAGAUAAAGAUCUCUCUUUCUGUAGGCAAGUUCGAUUUCUAUUGAUACUAAUGUAACAGCCAGAAAAACUGUUUGCCGUGGCCAGGUAAACCAAAUACAGACAGUGUUCUGAUGUAAAGCCAAAUUUGGCUCAUACUGCUAGCAGAAUUGGGUACUGGAGACCAGCUGUCUGCAUACGAUGGGGCAGUUUCCCCCUUGCACUUUCUCAGAUCACGUUGUGUUUUGGUAGUCUUAGUUAGAAAGGACUUGAGUUUUGUUUGGGUCCAGAUGUGAGCGAUGGGACUUAUUCUUCAUUCCGUAUUCCCUUGAUUUUUCUCGUGCUUCCUGUCUCUUGCCAAAGCUAAAAGUUCCAAAACAGAAACCUACGGGAAGAGCUUCCCUGGUAAUGUUUGUGUUGAACAGAAACAAACAGCAAAAUGCAUUUCCUGCAAAAUAAUUUUCUUCUGGGAAAUGUAGCCUGUGUCCUAGGCCAAAGGGUCUGGCUAAGUCUGAAGAUUUUUAGAUAAGCUUUUCAAUUACAGAUUCUUAUUUAGAGCACAUGUAAGUGUCUUUCAGUUUCUCAUCUUUAAUUUCUUUUGAUCCCACUCAGCCUUGAGAAAUGUGUUUUCCCUUUGCCAGAACACUUGAUUUCUUCCUUGAAAAGGAGGUGAGUGGACCUGGGGUAAGUUAAGAGAGAAAAAGAUUUGAACAACACUGAUUAGCAAAGUGCUCACUUGACCAACUGUUGUAACUUCUAACUAAUAUCUAUAAGCAUACCAAACUUCACAUAGUCCGCGUCAGAAGAAGAGGUCUUUUCUUAGGUGUUUAGGAUGGAAUUCAUACAGCUAAAGCUUAAACACUGGAAGAUUUGCUCUACAUCAACACCUGCUGUUCUGCCCUUGCUGCAAGAAGGAAGCUGGAGCAAAUACACUUUUCAGCUGUGACAUAUAAUCCAUGUGUGGAUUAAACUGUGCAUGCAACUACAGCUGAGAAUUCCAGAGAAUCCUCCUUCCUCCACUCUGACAGUGCAAAGGUAGGCUUCUGACCCAAGGGAAUGUGUAUGAAUUACAAAGUACUCCAAUAUGGAUUGUGCUAACCUCUUCUGUUUUCUCUCUGUCACUGUUUUGCAGGAUGACUCUUCAACAUUUCCCUUCUUGUUCUAAGAAAAUUGGACUGAUUGUCAAAAGUGAUUUUGGACAUCCUUCCAAU